Molecule: long non-coding RNA, 2350 nt
Filed under: Sus scrofa (pig)
Lineage: Eukaryota; Metazoa; Chordata; Mammalia; Artiodactyla; Suidae
Description: lncRNA (ENSSSCG00005000483.1)
Source: RNAcentral
GGGGUAGGAAUUUUACAGUUUCAGGCCUUGCAUUUAAGCUUUUAAUCUAUUUCAAGCUGAUUUCUGCAUGUGACAGGAGUCUAAUCUUAUUCUUUUGUAUGUAGAUAUCCACUUUUCCCAACACCAUUUACUAAAAAUAAAACUAUCCUUUCCCGGUUUAGGGUUCUUGGCACCCUUGUCAAAGAUUAAUUCACUGUAUAUGCACGGGGGUUUAUUUGUGGGACCUUUAUUCUGUUCCAUUGGUCUUUGUGUGUCUUUUUACAUUAGUACUAUACUGUUUUGAUUAGUAAAGCUUUAUAGUAUAUGUAAUUUGCAAUCUGGAAGUGUGAUGCCUCUAGUUUUCUUUCCCAAGAUUGUGCUGGCUAUUCAAAGUCUUCUGUGGUUCCAUACAAAUUUUAGGAUUGUUUUUUCUACUUCUAAUUUUGAUAGAGAUGGUACUGGAUCUGUAGAUUAUUUUGGGUAGUAUGGACAUUUAAUAUUAACUCUUCCCCAUCAAUGAACACAAGAUAUCUUUGCAUUUAUUCAUGUCUUUAAUUUCUUUCAUCAAUGUCUUAUUACUUUUCAGUAUACAGAUUUUCUAUCUCCUUGGUUAAAUUUAUUCCUAAGUGUUUUAUUCUUUUUGAUGCACUGUAAAUGGAAUGCUUUCUUAAUUUCUCUUUUCAUAGUGUGGAGUAAUGGAUGGGUGAAUAUUUCUAAUUGGCUUAUAGCAUUAUCUUGAGUCAUUCUAUAUACUUAGUGCCAUUUCUCACUGUUCCUCAUACAUGCAUGUCACUCUCAAAAACACACUUAAGAGUUUUCACAGCUUGGAGUUCCUGUUGUGGCUCAGUGGAAACAAAUCUGACUAGCAUCCACGAGGAUACAGGUUCAAUCCCUGGCCUCACUCAGUGGGUUAAGGAUCCAGCGUUGCCAUAAGCUGUGGUGUAGGUCACAGACAUGGCUCAGAUCUGGUGUUGCUGUGGCUGUGGUGUAGCCUGGUGGCUACAGCUCUAAUUCAACCCAUAGCCUGGGAACAUCCAUGUGCCGUUGGUGCAGCCCUAGAAAGACAAAAAACAAAUAAAUAACAAAAAUACAUUUUAUGUCUCUAUUUUGUUUAUGAACUCUUUCUUCUCCUUUAGGCUUAAACUAUCUCUACUCUAAGAUCAGAAAAUAUACUCACUUUUAUUCCCUUUAAACUUCUUUUAACAUUUAACUCUUCCCAUCUAUCUGUAAUGCUAGUUUUUUUUGUUUUUUUGUCUUUUUUUGCUAUUUCUUGGGCCGCUCCCACGGCAUAUGGAGGAACUGGAGGUCACACACAGGAAAAGAAAUCAAAUUGACAUAAGAACUUCCGAAAAGCAAUGUAAGAGUAAAGUGAGAAAGUGGUUAAAGUACUUGUCUUAUUCAAAGGGAAGAAAAUAUAUACAUUUAAAUAUAUAUUGUAAAAUUAAGAAACCGUGGGAAAUAAGCAGAAAUAUAGUAAAAAGAAUGUAAAUAAUUUCCAACAUAUGUGUUAUUAUAAUAAAUUUAUUGCAGUGAUUACAAUAAAUGAAAAUAGAUUAAACUCAUUGAUCAAAAGGGUCUCUGAGGUUGGAUAAAAAUGAGAUUCAGCAACUGACUUUAUAAAAGAGACCAAAAUAGGAUACUAAAAUGGUUGACAAUAAAAGGAUAGGAAGAGGUACCAGGGAAUAUAACCCCAGGUUGGUAUACAGGCUUUUCUUUAGGCCCCAUUCAUAAAUAAUUCAGACCCUUUCUGUCUGGGUACAGCUCCUGGCAAUCCUGGGCCUGUGAAUUCCAGUGCUGCAUUAAAGCUCACACACUAACAAGUUAUCUAUUUUCCUUACAGAAGAGGGCUUCAAUUUCUACUUCCUAUUAUGACAUUUGAGUUCUUUUUCCUUUUCAGACACCUGCAGAUUCCUCUUUUUUGCUUUCAAGCUCAGCUGUGUUUUAAAAAUAUUUUAUUUUCAUCUAGCAUUUCCAUCACAUUAUUGAAACGAAAGGAGUGUCCACAGUUUGCCAUGUAGUCCAGAAGUCCCAGAACAUGUACUUAAUUUUUUAAUCUUACUUUCUUCAUCUAUAUUAUGAAAUGGUAAAGCUCAAAAUAAUUAAGCUAGGAGAAGUAAAUAAAAUCAUACCCUAGCAUAAUAGUCCUUGGUACAUAUAGUCCUUGGUACAUAUAAAAUAUUCAAAUGCUGCCCUCUAAAUUUACCACCAAUUUUACAUCCUACCCAAGGAUAGUAAAGCUAGAACCAUAAGCAUGGAACAGAAAUGCCUAACUUUUUUCCAGUUCCAGCUUCCACUGAGCUGCAGUUAUGCUGAGGGUAAAAAUGCUUCUUCUAAAACUAUUUUGGGUAAAAAAAAAAAAAAAAAAAAAAAA